This 301-nucleotide ribosomal RNA is filed under the name uncultured bacterium. Its description in RNAcentral is "partial 16S ribosomal RNA". It matches the Rfam family "Bacterial small subunit ribosomal RNA", at positions 509 to 809 of the family's 1533-position model. The record is from RNAcentral.
CAGUAGCCGCGGGAAUACGUAGGGUGCGAGCGUUAAUCGGAAUUACUGGGUGUAAAGCGUGCGCAGGCGGUUCGUUAAGACAGAUGUGAAAUCCCCGGACUUAACCUGGGAACUGCAUCUGUGACUGGCGAGCUAGAGUAUGGCAGAGGGGGGUAGAAUUCCACGUGUAGCAGUGAAAUGCGUAAAGAUGUGGAGGAAUACCGAUGGCGAAGGCAGCCCCCUGGGCCAAUACUGACGCUCAUGCACGAAAGCGUGGGGAGCAAACAGGAUUAGAUACCCCCGUAGUCCCUGUCUCUUAUAA